Molecule: ribosomal RNA, 753 nt
Filed under: uncultured bacterium
Lineage: Bacteria
Description: bacterial SSU rRNA
Rfam family: Bacterial small subunit ribosomal RNA
Source: RNAcentral
AGAGUUUGAUCAUGGCUCAGAACGAACGCUGGCGGCAUGCCUAACACAUGCAAGUCGAACGAGGUUUCCACUUCGGUGGUUUCCUAGUGGCGCACGGGUGAGUAACGCGUGGGAACCUGCCCUGUGGUACGGAACAACUCCGGGAAACUGGAGCUAAUACCGUAUGCGUCCUGCGGGACAAAGAUUGUAUCGCCAUGGGAUGGGCCCGCGUAGGAUUAGCUUGUUGGCGGGGUAACGGCCCACCAAGGCAACGAUCCUUAGCUGGUCUGAGAGGAUGAUCAGCCACACUGGGACUGAGACACGGCCCAGACUCCUACGGGAGGCAGCAGUGGGGAAUAUUGGACAAUGGGCGCAAGCCUGAUCCAGCAAUGCCGCGUGAGUGAUGAAGGCCUUCGGGUUGUAAAGCUCUUUCGCACGCGACGAUGAUGACGGUAGCGUGAGAAGAAGCCCCGGCUAACUUCGUGCCAGCAGCCGCGGUAAUACGAAGGGGGCUAGCGUUGUUCGGAAUUACUGGGCGUAAAGGGCGCGUAGGCGGUGUGUCAAGUCAGGCGUGAAAGCCCCGGGCUCAACCUGGGAACCGCGCUUGAGACUGGCACGCUCGAGUUCGGGAGAGGAUGGUGGAAUUCCCAGUGUAGAGGUGAAAUUCGUAGAUAUUGGGAAGAACACCGAUGGCGAAGGCAGCCAUCUGGACCGACACUGACGCUGAGGCGCGAAAGCGUGGGGAGCAAACAGGAUUAGAUACCCUAGUAGUCC